GCCGGGAAGAGCAAGAAAGAGCGGGCCUAAGAGCAGUGGGAAUGGGAACAUGGAGGAAAGCCAUUCUAGAAAUUUCCCUCCCUCCAGCAGUGGAGGUGGGAGCUUCGGUUUGGUGUUUCCUGGUGCCUCCCAUUCCUAUCGUUCUUAAGCGCUCCUUGUUCUUCCUCUUGGUU
Molecule: microRNA precursor, 173 nt
Filed under: Sorghum bicolor (sorghum)
Lineage: Eukaryota; Viridiplantae; Streptophyta; Magnoliopsida; Poales; Poaceae
Description: pre miRNA MIR2118
Rfam family: MIR2118 microRNA precursor family
Source: Rfam by way of RNAcentral